CCUUACCACCCUUGACAUGCCUGGAACCCUGCAGAGAUGUGGGGGUGCUCGAAAGAGAGCCAGGACACAGGUGCUGCAUGGCCGUCGUCAGCUCGUGUCGUGAGAUGUUGGGUUAAGUCCCGCAACGAGCGCAACCCUUGCCAUUAGUUGCUACGAAAGGGCACUCUAAUGGGACUGCCGGUGACAAACCGGAGGAAGGUGGGGAUGACGUCAGGUCCUCAUGGCCCUUAUGGGUAGGGCUACACACGUCAUACAAUGGCCGGUACAGAGGGCUGCCAACCCGCGAGGGGGAGCCAAUCCCAGAAAACCGGUCGUAGUCCGGAUUGCAGUCUGCAACUCGACUGCAUGAAGUCGGAAUCGCUAGUAAUCGCGGAUCAGAAUGUCGCGGUGAAUACGUUCCCGGGUCUUGUACACACCGCCCGUCACACCAUGGGAGCGGGUUCUGCCAGAAGUGGGUAGCCUAACCGCAAGGAGGCGCUUACCACGGCAGGGUUCGUGACUGGGGUGAAGUCGUAACAAGGUAGGCGUAGCGAG
This 534-nucleotide ribosomal RNA is filed under the name uncultured bacterium. RNAcentral's name for it is "bacterial SSU rRNA". It matches the Rfam family "Bacterial small subunit ribosomal RNA", at positions 969 to 1509 of the family's 1533-position model. The record is from RNAcentral.